RNAcentral lists this ribosomal RNA (1001 nucleotides) under Vibrio aestivus. RNAcentral describes it as "bacterial SSU rRNA". It matches the Rfam family "Bacterial small subunit ribosomal RNA", at positions 65 to 1046 of the family's 1533-position model. The record is from RNAcentral. Lineage: Bacteria; Pseudomonadati; Pseudomonadota; Gammaproteobacteria; Vibrionales; Vibrionaceae.
AGGGAGACGACUUAACUGAACCUUCGGGGAACGUUAAGGGCGUCGAGCGGCGGACGGGUGAGUAAUGCCUAGGAAGUUGCCCAGUAGAGGGGGAUAACCAUUGGAAACGAUGGCUAAUACCGCAUAACCUCUUCGGAGCAAAGCAGGGGACCUUCGGGCCUUGCGCUAUUGGAUACGCCUAGGUGGGAUUAGCUAGUUGGUGAGGUAAGGGCUCACCAAGGCGACGAUCCCUAGCUGGUCUGAGAGGAUGAUCAGCCACACUGGAACUGAGACACGGUCCAGACUCCUACGGGAGGCAGCAGUGGGGAAUAUUGCACAAUGGGCGAAAGCCUGAUGCAGCCAUGCCGCGUGUGUGAAGAAGGCCUUCGGGUUGUAAAGCACUUUCAGCAGUGAGGAAGAUGGUAAGAUUAAUACUCUUAUCAUUUGACGUUAGCUGCAGAAGAAGCACCGGCUAACUCCGUGCCAGCAGCCGCGGUAAUACGGAGGGUGCGAGCGUUAAUCGGAAUUACUGGGCGUAAAGCGCAUGCAGGUGGUGAGUUAAGUCAGAUGUGAAAGCCCGGGGCUCAACCUCGGAAUUGCAUUUGAAACUGGCUCACUAGAGUACUGUAGAGGGGGGUAGAAUUUCAGGUGUAGCGGUGAAAUGCGUAGAGAUCUGAAGGAAUACCAGUGGCGAAGGCGGCCCCCUGGACAGAUACUGACACUCAGAUGCGAAAGCGUGGGGAGCAAACAGGAUUAGAUACCCUGGUAGUCCACGCCGUAAACGAUGUCUACUUGGAGGUUGUGGCCUUGAGCCGUGGCUUUCGGAGCUAACGCGUUAAGUAGACCGCCUGGGGAGUACGGUCGCAAGAUUAAAACUCAAAUGAAUUGACGGGGGCCCGCACAAGCGGUGGAGCAUGUGGUUUAAUUCGAUGCAACGCGAAGAACCUUACCUACUCUUGACAUCCAGAGAACUUAGCAGAGAUGCUUUGGUGCCUUCGGGAACUCUGAGACAGGUGCUGCAU